This is a long non-coding RNA of Drosophila miranda, 832 nucleotides long. RefSeq lists it as uncharacterized. The transcript is spliced from 4 exons. Lineage: Eukaryota; Metazoa; Arthropoda; Insecta; Diptera; Drosophilidae. The record is from RefSeq and is a predicted model, not a curated record.
GACGGACGUCUGAGGAAAAUACUCAAGUAGUGCAGGGAAAGGAAAAAUUCUAACCUCGACCGUAAUUACCGCGUGUCCAUCGUGGCUAAGAUCUAGUCAAAAGAUCAGCCGACCAUUCCUACGAUUAUUAAGCGAAGGCCGAACCCAUCGGGUUUGGCCGUACGUAAUACCGUACGAAACUCCGGUCGUAGUGCCGUAAGCCGUACCCACUACAGUCUCGUCACCUUACCACACAUAUAAAUACCCAGCGUCCCGAUCGACUACAGUAUGUGUUAGCCGUCUUCGCCCCCAAAUCUUCUUUCGGCGUGGCGUCUGCAUACAUUGACUUUCGUCAUUGCUACGUCGCUUACGCCGCCCGCAUACGAACAGUAACGCUAAAGGAGAAGACAUUUACCGGCGCCGAAAUACUGUUUGCGUUGCUGAUGAAGUCAUUCGGUGUCUCGAUCAUGAUGGCUAUGCCCAUGCAUUUCUUCAUAUUAGAAUAAUACUUUGGAACCCCACUAUUGUACUGACCCUAGGAUUAACAUUAAAAGUUAAAUUCGUGUGAUUCGGUUUGGUUGGCUUAUCAUAAAGAAAUGUGCAGCUAGAAGGAAAGGAACUAAAACUAAUACUCGCGCGUAUCGCCUAUCAACUCUGACACACUGAUAUUUACAAGUUUUCAGCCACCCUCAUCGACCACAUGGAAGCGCUUUCAUCGUUGGAUUUGAUCGUAAUCCGUACUGUAACGCUGACCAAUCCAAUUGUUCACGUGUUUGUUUUGUUCUGCUCUUUCGCAAGCAAUGUAACUUUCUGCAAUUCCGAAUCUAUCGACAACCGAACUUAUGAUUGGGAU